UACAGAGGGUGCAAGCGUUAAUCGGAAUUACUGGGCGUAAAGCGUGCGUAGACGGUUAUGUAAGUCGGGUGUGAAAGCCCCGGGCUCAACCUGGGAAUGCCAUUCGAGACUGCAUAGCUAGGGUGCGGAAGAGGGAAGCGGAAUUUCCGGUGUAGCGGUGAAAUGCGUAGAUAUCGGGAAGAACACCCGUGGCGAAGGCGGCUCUCUGGGACGGUACUGACGCUGAGACGCGAAAGCGUGGGGAGCGAACAGG
This 253-nucleotide ribosomal RNA is filed under the name uncultured bacterium. RNAcentral describes it as "partial 16S ribosomal RNA". It matches the Rfam family "Bacterial small subunit ribosomal RNA", at positions 524 to 776 of the family's 1533-position model. The record is from RNAcentral.